UGGCCGCUCGUGGCCGCACCUGGCAGCGUGUGGCUGCUCCUGGACGGGGCUGCUCCGGUGGUUUAAAUUCCGAUACAGUACUUAUCCGCUGUUUGUAUGCUUAUCCAGUUACAAUGAUGAUUGAUUUUGUAACCUUGAUUCAAUCAACUCAUUUUAGGUCAACAUUUUAUGUUAUUUCUUUGAACGGUAAGAAUUUGGACUUGCUAAGUCUCAGUAAUUUAUUCAUGCAUUGAAUUUGUGCUUUCCAUCAAAUUACGCCUCUGAUUUCUCAUCUUAUCUCCUAAGUAGAAUGAUAGUUGGCUUGAUUUUGUGGGUUCGGCUUAUCAACAAGAGUCGUCUACUGAAAUUGAUCAUCAUUCAUGGCCAAAAAAGUAACAUUUAUAGCUAUUAAAAGAACAAAGUUUAGAGAGACUAAAAUGCUAGUGAAAAAAGUACAAAUGAUUUAUUAUGUUAAGGUAUUGACUAAAUUUGUAAUUUUGUUUGUGCAGGUCUCGCUCGGUGUAGUUGGAGACACUCGUAUCAUAAAGCAUUUUUGUAGAUCUUCCCCGUGGUCAUUAGAGGUGACAUCUAAUAUUUUUUCCCCUCUUGUUCUACAAGCUAUUUGAAGAAAAAUGUUCCGCUCUAAGUCAGAUUCCUCCGCGUGACGAUGAUGAUGAUGGCGAUGAUGAUAACGAUGAUGCUGGAUUGGUGAGGCGAAAUAUGUAUCGGAGAAAAAAGUAAGUAUUAAAUAACACACUCGUAGUUGAACAUGUUAGACUUUUAAUUAUAUUUAUAUAUUUUUAAAUUAGUUAUAUUUGAAAAGUUAAAUAAAGGUAUCUUUUUAUAUAUUUGUUGAAAUUUGAUAUUACUGCAUUAUUACUUCAAAUUCCAAAUUAUGAUUAGAGUUUGCCUAAUAACCAAGUAACUAUGAGUACUUAAAGACUAGUAUCAACUAAUUGCUCAUAUAUUAGUUUGUGUUUUUUUCAUUUCAGACAUUUUCAUAUUAUAGGGAUUUUAAGAAUACAUCUCAUUCUCUCUAUGUUUGAUGAAAUAUAAUAUUUGUAAAACUUGUUUGAUAAGGUGAAAUAUGGUAUAUCAUAACAAUUUGAUACAAAUGAAACUGUUAGAAUUGUGAGAUUGUUAGAAUUUAAGUUAUUAUCUUUCUGGUUACACAUGAUCUGGUUUAUUCGUUUGUUUGUAUGCAGGAAGAGAAGAGUUGAUGGGGAUGAAAGCUUUUGUGGAGAAAGAAGAUGAGUUGAUGUAUCUUAGUUUUUUUUUAAAUUUAACUCCUUGUUUAACUUCUUGGAUUAUUAGACUUUAUAAAUAUUUGAGUGUUGAACUUGUAUAA
Long non-coding RNA from Zingiber officinale, 1327 nucleotides. RefSeq lists it as uncharacterized. The transcript is spliced from 4 exons. The record is from RefSeq and is a predicted model, not a curated record. NCBI's taxonomy places the organism in Eukaryota, Viridiplantae, Streptophyta, Magnoliopsida, Zingiberales, Zingiberaceae.